UGGCUCAGGAUGAACGCUGGCGGCGUGCCUAAUACAUGCAAGUCGAACGAGUUCUGAUUAUUGAAAGGUGCUUGCAUCUUGAUUUAAUUUUGAACGAGUGGCGGACGGGUGAGUAACACGUGGGUAACCUGCCCUUAAGUGGGGGAUAACAUUUGGAAACAGAUGCUAAUACCGCAUAAAUCCAAGAACCGCAUGGUUCUUGGCUGAAAGAUGGCGUAAGCUAUCGCUUUUGGAUGGACCCGCGGCGUAUUAGCUAGUUGGUGAGGUAACGGCUCACCAAGGCAAUGAUACGUAGCCGAACUGAGAGGUUGAUCGGCCACAUUGGGACUGAGACACGGCCCAAACUCCUACGGGAGGCAGCAGUAGGGAAUCUUCCACAAUGGACGCAAGUCUGAUGGAGCAACGCCGCGUGAGUGAAGAAGGCUUUCGGGUCGUAAAACUCUGUUGUUGGAGAAGAAUGGUCGGCAGAGUAACUGUUGUCGGCGUGACGGUAUCCAACCAGAAAGCCACGGCUAACUACGUGCCAGCAGCCGCGGUAAUACGUAGGUGGCAAGCGUUAUCCGGAUUUAUUGGGCGUAAAGCGAGCGCAGGCGGUUUUUUAAGUCUGAUGUGAAAGCCCUCGGCUUAACCGAGGAAGUGCAUCGGAAACUGGGAAACUUGAGUGCAGAAGAGGACAGUGGAACUCCAUGUGUAGCGGUGAAAUGCGUAGAUAUAUGGAAGAACACCAGUGGCGAAGGCGGCUGUCUGGUCUGUAACUGACGCUGAGGCUCGAAAGCAUGGGUAGCGAACAGGAUUAGAUACCCUGGUAGUCCAUGCCGUAAACGAUGAAUGCUAGGUGUUGGAGGGUUUCCGCCCUUCAGUGCCGCAGCUAACGCAUUAAGCAUUCCGCCUGGGGAGUACGACCGCAAGGUUGAAACUCAAAGGAAUUGACGGGGGCCCGCACAAGCGGUGGAGCAUGUGGUUUAAUUCGAAGCAACGCGAAGAACCUUACCAGGUCUUGACAUCUUUUGAUCACCUGAGAGAUCAGGUUUCCCCUUCGGGGGCAAAAUGACAGGUGGUGCAUGGUUGUCGUCAGCUCGUGUCGUGAGAUGUUGGGUUAAGUCCCGCAACGAGCGCAACCCUUAUGACUAGUUGCCAGCAUUUAGUUGGGCACUCUAGUAAGACUGCCGGUGACAAACCGGAGGAAGGUGGGGAUGACGUCAAAUCAUCAUGCCCCUUAUGACCUGGGCUACACACGUGCUACAAUGGAUGGUACAACGAGUUGCGAGACCGCGAGGUCAAGCUAAUCUCUUAAAGCCAUUCUCAGUUCGGACUGUAGGCUGCAACUCGCCUACACGAAGUCGGAAUCGCUAGUAAUCGCGGAUCAGCACGCCGCGGUGAAUACGUUCCCGGGCCUUGUACACACCGCCCGUCACACCAUGAGAGUUUGUAACACCCGAAGCCGGUGGCGUAACCCUUUUAGGGAGCGAGCCGUCUAAGGUGGGACAAAUG
Molecule: ribosomal RNA, 1491 nt
Filed under: uncultured organism
Description: SSU rRNA
Rfam family: Bacterial small subunit ribosomal RNA
Source: RNAcentral